This 400-nucleotide long non-coding RNA is filed under the name Gossypium barbadense (sea-island cotton). RNAcentral's name for it is "long non-coding RNA (GBAR_LNC016436)". The record is from RNAcentral. Lineage: Eukaryota; Viridiplantae; Streptophyta; Magnoliopsida; Malvales; Malvaceae.
CGACGAUGAUGUGGCAGCUCUUGAGGAAUUGCUUGUAAGCUUGAGGGUUAUCAAAACGACGAACCACUGACCAAACGGUUUCGAUAGGGGCUUCGAUGGCUUGAACAACUGCUGAACCACACUGGUUAGGUCCCAGGGUGUGGACAUGGUACGUCGCCACCGUGUCAGGCAACGAGAUCCCGCAAGGAAGAGGGAAAAACCUAGUCAGUGCGGUACUGGUUGUGAUGGGUUGAUUUUGUUUCUGGUUGCAGGUGCCAAUAGUGGCGGCGAGCGGUGGAUGGAGCUUCAGUGAGGAAGGCAUGGCGGCUAAGUGGAUGAAUGUGAGUUUGGGUUAGAGCUCAUGUUAAACAAAAACGCGUAGGGCAGGGGUAGAGGUUGAAUAUAUAGGAGAGGGUUCCAA